UCAGAAAAUUUUUGUGUAGCCGCUUGAAUGAGGUCUAGUUUUACAAGUGGAAACUCUCUGGAUCUCCCCUGCUUUUCUGAGACAAAAUCAUCAUUCUCAUCAAGUGUUUCUCCUAUCGUGUUAUAUUGCAGCUUGCAAGUUGAACUCUGGCUCCUUUUGGUACUUUGGCGUCAACGAGAUGGCUACUCAUUUGAGAAAAAGCAGACUUCAGGCAAGUGGAACAAUCUGCAGCUGACAAAUCAGGAUCCAAGAAACCGAGCUGUCUAACAUGGACGCCAAAUUUGGUAUAUUAGAAUAGCGGACCAAACACUCGUCAUAACAUAUGUUGGCCUGUUUACCGAGGGGACAUUCGUGCAGGAUCCUCUCACUUGCUACGUCUAUGCAGUUUUGACAGUCUUUAGGUGCAAUGUCUCGUCUACAGAGGAAUACUCCAUAAACUUUAUCAGGCUCUUCUCCUACACUUGCUUUUGUAUACAUGGAAUUUCCACCAGUACUGUAUAGUGAUCUGUACAGUAAUCGGUUAAGAUUUGAGUGGAAUUUGCUUCCUACUGUAUAAUUAUUGGUCAUUGAGCAAGUGUAGUAUAAGAAUGAGGAUGUGGACAGAAGAAGAAGAUCAGAAUUGUUUGACAGAACAAACAGUGAAUGGAGCAACAAAAUCAGAAUUAAUGUUUGGCUACUGCACAAACACAAAACUAGAACCCACGCCAUUUUCACUUCCCAACUUCAGAGGAAAUAUUGCAGAAAGAAGUAGAGUAGUUCAGAAUUUUCACAAGUAAUAUAUGAGGAAGCAGACAGGUAUUGUGUGAACAUGUGCUAAUAACUAUCGUGCUUUAUUGAAAAAAUCACAAUUUAUUAUAUGUUAAUAAAUGUUAUUCAAAUUGCAGUCUUUUUUAGGAAAAUGUUUAUUCAUUUUCCAUUCUCACCUUUUACAAAAUCCAACACAACUUGUAGAAAUUAAAGGUCAUUUAUUCCUCAAAUAUAUAGGGAGUAUGAGCCCGUUUGGAUGGGCUUUAAGUUGGUCAAACCAAUUUAUAAGCCCCUUUUUAGCUUUUGGAUGUAUUUACCUAAUGCUAACUUUAAGCCAUAAAGUUUUUAAAGUCAGUCAAAAAUGAAAAACGUUUUCUAAAUAUUUUUUUCUAAGUGCUUAAAGCCAUUUUGUUUGACCAUAGAAAUUACUUUUAUAUCCCUUAUAUUUUAACUAAAUUCCCAAACUAUCUUUUUUAUUCUUUUAACUCUAAAAUUCAAAUACUUAUUUUUAACAUAAGCACUUUUAUCCAAACACUCAACUGCUUAUUUAUAAAAAUAACUUUCAGCACUUCAAAGUUCUAAAAGCACUUUAUACAUAAAAGUUACUUUUUUAAAAUUCAUCCAAACGGGCUCUAUAUGUUUUUACUAUUUAGGAAGUUUAACUCGUUCUAAGAUCCAGACCGUCCAAUAAUUGUCAAUUAAGGAGGAAGAUGUUUAGACAGUGAUUUUGCCUAUUCAUGUAAACAUUUAGUACUCACUUUUGGAGGCUUAGGAAAACACAAGUUUAGUUUAAUUUGUCGUGCUAGGCUUGAUAGUUGAGCUAUGCCAAUCAGACACAGUGAAUUUAUUGCUCACCCAUCCUUUUUAAUCGUCAAUAUUGCAAUUUUCGA
Molecule: long non-coding RNA, 1637 nt
Organism: Solanum dulcamara
Lineage: Eukaryota; Viridiplantae; Streptophyta; Magnoliopsida; Solanales; Solanaceae
Exons: 4
Source: RefSeq, a predicted model, not a curated record